UAGUAACGGCGAGUGAAGCGGCAACAGCUCAAAUUUGAAAUCUGGCUCUUUUAGAGUCCGAGUUGUAAUUUGCAGAGGGCGCUUUGGCGUUGGCAGCGGUCCAAGUUCUUUGGAACAGGACGUCACAGAGGGUGAGAAUCCCGUACGUGGUCGCUAGCCUUCGCCGUGUAAAGCCCCUUCGACGAGUCGAGUUGUUUGGGAAUGCAGCUCUAAAUGGGAGGUAAAUUUCUUCUAAAGCUAAAUACUGGCCAGAGACCGAUAGCGCACAAGUAGAGUGAUCGAAAGAUGAAAAGCACUUUGGAAAGAGAGUUAAACAGUACGUGAAAUUGUUGAAAGGGAAACGAUUGAAGUCAGUCGUGUCUGUUGGUUUCAGCCUUUACCGGUGUAUUACCAGCAGACGGGUCAACAUCAGUUUUGGACGGUGGAAAAAGACAGGGAGAACGUGGCACCCUCGGGUGUGUUAUAGCUCUCUGUUGCAUACACUGUCUGAGACUGAGGAAUGCAGCUUGCCUUUAUGGCCGGGGUUCGCCCACGUACAAGCUUAGGAUGUUGACAUAAUGGCUUUAAACGACCCGUCUUGAA
RNAcentral lists this ribosomal RNA (582 nucleotides) under uncultured Hannaella. RNAcentral's name for it is "eukaryotic LSU rRNA". It matches the Rfam family "Eukaryotic large subunit ribosomal RNA", at positions 81 to 658 of the family's 3401-position model. The record is from RNAcentral. Lineage: Eukaryota; Fungi; Basidiomycota; Tremellomycetes; Tremellales; Bulleribasidiaceae.